Molecule: transfer RNA, 146 nt
Filed under: Neurospora crassa
Lineage: Eukaryota; Fungi; Ascomycota; Sordariomycetes; Sordariales; Sordariaceae
Description: tRNA predict as a tRNA- Gln : anticodon ttg
Source: RNAcentral
GAACACGUAGAGAAGAAAUUCUUUUUUUUUCUUUGAAGGUUGGAAGUGUGGGUGUGAAACAUCUUAUCUCAGUCCUGAGACGAAUAUCUUAUGUCAUGAAUGGGUGAUCAGUAACUGCGCGUCUGGUUACGAUCUAGGUGUGUCCG